CUACUAGCCUCUACUAUUUACUUGCUGUCAUGGCUGCUUUCAUGCUACAGUGGCAUAGUUGAUUAUGAUCAGUUGUAACAGACCCUAUAGCUCACAAAGCAUAAAAUAAUUGCUAUCUGGCUCUUUACAGUAAAAAUGUUUUGCCAACUCCCAUUCUAAGCCAAAAAAGCAAGGUCCUAAAAAUAUGUCUUUGUUUCCCAUUCCCCAGUGUAUAGGUAUUCUGGUACAUGGCUGGCUAUUCCUUUGAUGCCCUUGAUAUGGCUUCAUAGCAUUCUUCCCCAAAUACCCCAGCCUUCCCUUGAUCAAUGGGUUAUGGGUCUAAGAACAGGCUAAGAUCUGGAAAGGAUGAGUGAUAGUGAUUUUUCAUUGAAGCAGCUGACAUCUCACCUAAUCUUGCUAUUUUAUGACUAAUACAGCCAAGCAACACCUUCGAUGGCUUCCCACCUGUCUUGUCCCUAUCUUGCCGUGGUCCACUAGCCAUCUUCACAGAUCCCUGUGGGGCCAGGCUCCUUGGUUUGCAUCCCUUGCCACCUGUGAUGUAACUACUGCUUUGCCUCUGACAGGUAAUUGGUGCCACUUGGUCUCUGCUGUUCCAGAAUCUCUCCAUUCACACAAGGGUUGUCUCCUGCCAUCAACCUUGGCCUGCAGGCUGCCACUGAGUUUCUUGGUGGAAGAAGUUCCCUCGGGCUGUGCCCCAGCUCGCUCUCGCUCUCCAGGAGGCCAUGGAACAGGAAAACGCACAUCCGCCGGAGGGCGGUGACCCAGCCUGCAUCUCCCAGCAAGCCAAGAAAGCACUUUGAAGAAAAUUGAGGAGUUCACACUUCUGGACAUGCAAACUCCAGCCCGUACUUGUGGGAGAACCCAGCACGCCUCAGACCGCUCUGACAGGUAGCUGGCCAGGAUACCCCAUACCCGCUGACUGAUGCUUCUCGGGAUGGUAAGUAAAUGCACAUAUUUUAAAACCUGGAGCCAGAUUUCAAAGGCACUGUGUAUGUGUUUUCACAAUUAAACUAAAAAAAAAAAAAUCAUCUACGUUUUAUGGAUCCCGGCAUAGCUAUUUUGAAGCAGGGAGGAAAGCCAGAUUUGUUGAAGUCAUUACCACAUUGAAACUUUAGAAGCUGCUUCCAGUCCUUCUCAGGAUGACGCUCGGUAUGA
Ailuropoda melanoleuca (giant panda) is the source of this 1155-nucleotide long non-coding RNA. RefSeq lists it as uncharacterized. The record is from RefSeq and is a predicted model, not a curated record. The transcript has 3 exons. Lineage: Eukaryota; Metazoa; Chordata; Mammalia; Carnivora; Ursidae.